AUUGAACGCUGGCGGCAGGCUUAACACAUGCAAGUCGAACGAUGAAGGUAUAGCUUGCUAUAUCGGAUUAGUGGCGGACGGGUGAGUAACACUUAGGAAUCUACCUUUUAGCGGGGGAUAGCUCGGGGAAACUCGAAUUAAUACCGCAUAAUUUCUACGGAAUAAAGAGGGCUUUUAGCUCUCACUAGAAGAUGAGCCUAAGUAAGAUUAGCUAGUUGGUGGGGUAAAAGCCUACCAAGGCGACGAUCUUUAGCUGGCCUGAGAGGAUGAUCAGCCACACUGGGACUGAGACACGGCCCAGACUCCUACGGGAGGCAGCAGUGGGGAAUAUUGGACAAUGGGGGCAACCCUGAUCCAGCCAUGCCGCGUGUGUGAAGAAGGCCUUUUGGUUGUAAAGCACUUUAAGCAGUGAAGAAGACCUAUUGGUUAAUACCCAAUAGCGAUGACAUUAACUGCAGAAUAAGCACCGGCUAACUCUGUGCCAGCAGCCGCGGUAAUACAGAGGGUGCAAGCGUUAAUCGGAAUUACUGGGCGUAAAGCGAGCGUAGGUGGUUAAAUAAGUCAGAUGUGAAAGCCCUGGGCUCAACCUAGGAACGGCAUCUGAAACUAUUUAACUAGAGUAGGUGAGAGGGAAGUAGAAUUUCAGGUGUAGCGGUGAAAUGCGUAGAGAUCUGAAGGAAUACCGAUGGCGAAGGCAGCUUCCUGGCAUCAUACUGACACUGAGGCUCGAAAGCGUGGGUAGCAAACAGG
RNAcentral lists this ribosomal RNA (750 nucleotides) under uncultured bacterium. Its description in RNAcentral is "bacterial SSU rRNA". It matches the Rfam family "Bacterial small subunit ribosomal RNA", at positions 28 to 776 of the family's 1533-position model. The record is from RNAcentral.